AAAAUAAAAGCAUUAAAAUUCGAAAAUGACCACUAGAUCGAACAUGUGGGAUAUAUCGCACUAUUUGUGCGUUUCGUAUCGCACUGGUGGGAUACAAGAUAUAUCGUAGGAUAAAUCGGCCAAUAUCAUCAAUAUUUAAAACACUGCUCAUAUCUAUCUUUUAUUAAAUAAAGUCAAGUCAUUCUAGAGCAAUCAACAAAAGUAACAAAGUAUUUAUAUCCUAACAUACUUGAGAGUCAAACAUGACCUCAAACAUCUAAAUGCAAUAAUACGAAUGGAACAAAACGAUGCAUUUCUGCACGUGGUGGAAAAGAGACUUUGUGAUGUUUACUUAACUCCCAUACUUCACACUCUAAAAUGGACUUGGGAGAUGAAGAGGGAAUAACAGUCUUGAGGAUCUUCAAGGACCAAUGACCUGAAUGACAAUGCCACUAAUAAGAAGAGGUACUAAAUUGUACUACUACUCCAACAUACUCAUGAUCUAGAUAAUAAAGUCCGCUAUGUUAACAACCUUCUCCAAUCUUCCUCUUCAUCCCGAGAUCCUGGAAAACACAAUGUACAGGAUAGAAGGUUACAGAACAAUUAGGGGAAUUUUUGCUCCUAUAGAGCAGAGGACAAGAGGAGAAAAGAAUUUGGACAAAUGAUACCCUCCCACUCAAUUUGGAUCUGAUACCAUUUACCAAAAUGACAAAUGAACUCGAUAAUCAAGGAUCGGCUAAGUAGAAAAUCAUGGACUUAUUUGUCAAUAUGAUCCAAUGCCUUGUGAUCAAUAACCCACGAAGAAGAAGAGUGAGAAACUGAGCAAGUUUUACCUAAUAUGACAAAGGUAGCAGUGGAGGAGAAUCGACCACUUGUGACAGACGCAUUCUUUAGUAAUUUGGAGUACUCAUCCUUUUCUAGAUUAACCAACAUCUCCAGAUGUAUUUUGCUCUUGUUGGGGUGAAGAAGCAAACUCAAUAAAACGAGAUCCGUUACUUUCUUCAGAAUGAGAGACUUGAUUUGCCCAAGCCGACUUGCCAUUUAACGGUGUGGAUUGUGAGCCCACAAUGAGUACAUUUUUGAGGUCUCUCAUGAGGGUCUACAUUUCCAAGGUCUCCCAUGAGGGUCUACAUUUCCGAGGUCUCCCAUGAGGGUCUUGUCCUCAUGUAUCAUUACAAUUUCCUCAACCUUACCUCCUUGAUUAACUGAAGCAGCACGAGCUACUCCCCUUCGUCCACCAGAUGUUUCAUGAGUUGAUCUAUCAUUAACUUUAGUAGAGUAGCCAGUAGAGCCAAUAGACACAUUUAAUAGAUGCAUACACCUCAUUGAGUGGCAAUACAUCCUUUCCUCCUAUGAUCUAGCUCGGAUUGGCUCAUAUUCAGGCUUCAAUCCUAUUAAAAAUUUGGCCACCCUAAAUUCUUCAUGCCAUUGACGCUGCUUUGGACCUUAAUAACUCGUGGGACCUUAAUUGGGCCAUAAUUGCUCCCAGGACCUCUAAUCAGACUAUAAUUGCUACUGGGACCUCUAUUGGUACCGUUAUCGCUCCCGGGACCUCUAAUCGAACAAUAAUCGAUCUCACGAUCUCUAAUCCUAAUGUAAUCACUCCAGGGACCUCUUAUCGUACUGUAAUCACUCCUAGGACCUCUAAUCAGACCGUAAUCGCUACUGAGACUAUAAUCGCUACUUGAACCUCUAAUGGGACAGUAAUCGCUCCUGAUUAACUGAACCACCACGAGCUAGUCCCCUUCGUCCACCAGAUUAUACAUGAGUUGAUCUAUCAUUAACUCUAGUAGAGUGGCCAGUAGAGUCAAUAGACACACAUUGAAUAGAUGCAUACACCUCAUUGAGCGAUGAUACAUCCUUUCCACCUUUGAUCUAGCUCGAACUGGCUCAUAUUUAGGCUUCAAUCCUAAUAAAAAUUUGGCUACCCUGAAUUCUUCACACUGUUGACGCUGCUUUUCCAAAACAAUUGUAAGGGGCUGAUAUAUAUUCGACUCUUCCCGCAUGCCUUUAAGCUUCGAAAAGUAAUCGUUGAGGGGCAUAUCGCCAUAUUGGAAUGUAAUUAUUUCUUCAAACAGUUGAUAUGUACGAGAGAGAUGCUUUUGUCACAUCUCUUGUGUGUUAUCCCUCACUUCAUUCGCAGUAUCAAGAAACACAACAUUUGCACUAAUGGAUUGUACGAUACUAUUCCAUAAUCAUGUCAUAAUUUGAGUAUUCUCCUAAACCCACUCAUCAUAUUUAUUAUCAUUCUCAUCAGGCUUCAUUGAGGUCAAGUAUUUUAACUACCCUUCAACCGUCAAGAAGACUUGCACAAAUUUCGACUACUAAAGAUAAUUUGUUCCAUUCAACUUCGUAGAGGUUAUUUGAGCCCCUAGAAAGUCUGAUGGACCAAUAAAACUAGAUUUGUGCUCAAUUUUUGUGUCCAUUGGAACACAAUAUCAAAAGGAUUAAAUGCGCACCACUUACCAAAAUCAAGUCGAAAUGCUUGCACUUGAAAGGUUCAAUCACUCAAGCCGGCACAAGCAACACAUUUCAUGAGAAGCACCAAUCAACUAACGCAUCACAGCCAAUCACAUGAAAUUUUACACGUCUUCACACCAUGAGGAUGACAACCUCCUUCACUCAACGUCUUCAAGCCAUCAACCAGGCCGGGGCACAAAUGAAAGAAAAUUCUAGAUUCUUUAAAGAACUCUCAGAAUGAGAGAAACAAAAGAGAACAAGAAGAGAAAAAGAAUGAGGAGAAAUGAAUUUCAAGGGAGGAAAGAAAAAGGAGGGGAGGACUCUUACCUUGAUCAAACCUUCUUUGAUACCAUCUUGGUUAUGAAAAGAUGUGAGAGAAAGCGGUGAGGAAAGAGAGUUGAGAGAGAGAAUAGGAAAAGAGAAAAGAAGAUUUGGGACUUGAUGUCCUCACCUCUCUUACUUUUAUUCACUUAAGAUUUUUUUUUUUUUUAAAACUAAACAAAA
Magnolia sinica is the source of this 2943-nucleotide long non-coding RNA. RefSeq lists it as uncharacterized. NCBI's taxonomy places the organism in Eukaryota, Viridiplantae, Streptophyta, Magnoliopsida, Magnoliales, Magnoliaceae. The record is from RefSeq and is a predicted model, not a curated record. The transcript is spliced from 2 exons.